GACGGAGGGGGCUAGCGUUGUUCGGAAUCACUGGGCGGAAAGGGCGCGUAGGCGGCUUCAGGUGUCGGAUGUGAAAGACUGGGGCUCAACCCCGGGGGUGCAUCCGAAACUAUGGGGCUGGAGGCCGGAAGAGGAGGGUGGAAUACCCAGUGUAGAGGUGAAAUUCGUAGAUAUUGGGUGGAACACCGGUGGCGAAAGCGGCUCUCUGGUCCGGUCCUGACGCUGAGGCGCGAAAGCGUGGGGAGCAAACAGG
RNAcentral lists this ribosomal RNA (253 nucleotides) under uncultured bacterium. RNAcentral describes it as "partial 16S ribosomal RNA". It matches the Rfam family "Bacterial small subunit ribosomal RNA", at positions 524 to 776 of the family's 1533-position model. The record is from RNAcentral.